AGCAGUAGCCGCGGGAAUACGGAGGAUCCAAGCGUUAUCCGGAAUUAUUGGGUUUAAAGAGCUCGUAGGCGGUCUGUCGCGUCUGGUGUGAAAUCCCGAGGCUCAACCUCGGGCUUGCAUCGGGUACGGGCAGACUAGAGUGCGGUAGGGGAGACUGGAAUUCCUGGUGUAGCGGUGGAAUGCGCAGAUAUCAGGAGGAACACCGAUGGCGAAGGCAGGUCUCUGGGCCGCAACUGACGCUGAGGAGCGAAAGCAUGGGGAGCGAACAGGAUUAGAUACCCGGGUAGUCCCUGUCUCUUAUAC
This 303-nucleotide ribosomal RNA is filed under the name uncultured bacterium. RNAcentral's name for it is "partial 16S ribosomal RNA". It matches the Rfam family "Bacterial small subunit ribosomal RNA", at positions 507 to 807 of the family's 1533-position model. The record is from RNAcentral.